Molecule: long non-coding RNA, 996 nt
Filed under: Oryza sativa (Asian cultivated rice)
Lineage: Eukaryota; Viridiplantae; Streptophyta; Magnoliopsida; Poales; Poaceae
Description: long non-coding RNA (OSAT_LNC001061)
Source: RNAcentral
GGAUGAUGUGACUUGCCUUGCUCAGAGAGAACGGCCUUCCGAACCUUCGGCGACGGCCGCGAACCACGCUUCGGGAACCUCCGGAACGACAGAAGCUACGCGAAGCACACAAGCAAAGCUACAAGCCUAUAAAGAAGCAAUAACAAUAUAUAAAAAGAAAGCACACGGUUCUUUAGGUUAUAACAAACAUUAAGAGACUUGAACAGGUCGAUUCGGAGCUCGUAUGACCAAGAUAUGAUCAUCCGAAGUUUAAUGCUGUUAUAUGGAGAUUUGCGGAUUAUUAUAAUUAAGCUUUGCAACUAUAAAACAUGUGGAAGCGCUAGCCUGGAAAAGACAGGAAGGCUGCGCUGUUGACAUGCGGACCCCACAUGUCAACCUAAAGGACCGCGGUAGACCGAGUACACGGAGACGGUCCACGGGUCGACGGAAGCGGACCCCGUGUGUCAACCGAGGCGAGUGGCCGACAAACGGACUCCACUAGACACCACACGGGCUGCACACGUGGAAACCACGCGGCUACUGAGCGGACACACUAACACGGACACUACACGGUCACCACCCGCACACGUGAACGACUACCGACACCGGUACACGGGUACCGGGGUCGACAACCGCACAACGGGUACGGGGCGACACCGAAAGGACGAGGACGGGGCAGCGAGAGGAGAGAUCCUUACCACCACGCGACGAGGCGUGGGAAAGACAACGACGAACGGGCGCGGCGGAGACGGAUGGCAAGGGAACGACUUCAGCGGCGAUCCUUGAACGAAGGCGAGACACGGCCGGCACGAGGCUUGACGACGCGGAGGCGAGGACGAAGACGAUGAUGGGGCUGCGGCACUUGACGAAGCGAGGACGACGAACGAGAAUGGCUUGACGGAGGGACGAACGCCACGACAACCGGGAACGACGAGAGGGCGACGACGACGACGACCGGGGCCGGCGAGGAGGCGACGUGGGCAGCCUACAGCGGCUGCACGAAGACGAGGAUGGCGU